RNAcentral lists this ribosomal RNA (497 nucleotides) under uncultured bacterium. Its description in RNAcentral is "partial 16S ribosomal RNA". It matches the Rfam family "Bacterial small subunit ribosomal RNA", at positions 28 to 507 of the family's 1533-position model. The record is from RNAcentral.
GAUGAACGCUGGCGGCGUGCCUAAUACAUGCAAGUCGAGCGAACAGAUAAGGAGCUUGCUCCUUUGACGUUAGCGGCGGACGGGUGAGUAACACGUGGGUAACCUACCUAUAAGACUGGGAUAACUUCGGGAAACCGGAGCUAAUACCGGAUAACAUUUGGAACCGCAUGGUUCUAAAGUGAAAGAUGGUUUUGCUAUCACUUAUAGAUGGACCCGCGCCGUAUUAGCUAGUUGGUAAGGUAACGGCUUACCAAGGCGACAAUACGUAGCCGACCUGAGAGGGUGAUCGGCCACACUGGAACUGAGACACGGUCCAGACUCCUACGGGAGGCAGCAGUAGGGAAUCUUCCGCAAUGGGCGAAAGCCUGACGGAGCAACGCCGCGUGAGUGAUGAAGGGUUUCGGCUCGUAAAACUCUGUUAUUAGGGAAGAACAAAUGUGUAAGUAACUGUGCACGUCUUGACGGUACCUAAUCAGAAAGCCACGGCUAACUACGUG